GUGAAAUUUGAUUAGUGGGAAUUUAUGCAAAAUGAACAAAGUGUCCUUGGGUUUGGUUUUGAGGUUAAGUUGAGCUAGGGGAAAAAUGGUCUUUUUGAACAAUUAGACUAAGUUAGGCUGACCAAAGCUGAGAGCUUCUGGGUCAUUCACGUACAAUACACUUACCUCUCUCCUAUCUUGCCUUCGUGAAGAGGUUUUGGAAGACACAACUAAGUUUGGAGUUUGCACCUGAGUUUGAGAAGGGAAAUUAAAGGCUUAGGAGGUGAAGAAUUGCAGAUGAGUACUCCAUUUUCGACCUAAGGUUUUGAAUUCAUCACUGAGGUUUACCGCAAGGCUCGAAAAAAGGGAAUCAUGCUCGAGGUCGUACCACUACUUACAUAGGACUCGAGGCCAUGGCUCGCGAGUGCUAUGUGGUGCAGGUAAGGGCAAAGAAAAGUUGGACCAACCAUGAGUUGGAGAGCUCUAGGAGCAGUGUGUACAUAUGCAGUAUGCUCGACCGCCACGACCGAGAUUUCUCUUGAGGAACUAAGGGAGUAAGUUCUAUUUUUUUUUGGGGCUUUGAAAAGUAAACAAAAAAAGUGGCAAAUUUCAAAGAAAAUGGCAUUCACUCCACCAGGCCCCCUGGCCAUUUCCCAGGCCCAACGUCUGGCCCUCUUCUUUGCUGCUCCUCAGCCAUUGCCACAGCCCAGCCGGCCCAACAUCAAUCACCCAGCCAGCCGAAGACUACCCCUUCCUUCCAUCUCCACUUCAACGGUCAACCUUCCAGCAGCAGCCAUGCGCCUGGCCAAUUCCUCUUCAGCCAGUCCCUGCCGAGACUCCACCAGACCACCCACGAGCCCACCAUUUCCUUCACUCGGCCCAGCCCACAAGCCCAACCCAGCCUACCAACCGAAACCCAAUCUCACCAGCCCAACUUCUCAACUGCUCCAGCCACGUGAACCAUGCCCAACCAGCCACCAACAACCCUCUUGAGCCCACAAUGUACUUUUUGUCCCCUAUGUCUAAAAAUGCCAAUUUUUACCCAAAUUUUUCUACACUUUUUACCUCAAAAUCAUCAUCACUCCUACUAUUUACCAUAUUAUUAUUAAUUUAAUCAAUUUAAUUAAUUUAAAUUGAUUAUUUUAAUAAUCUCAUUUUGGCUAUAAAUAAGGGUUUUGAAGACCAUUUUUGGUGUGCUUAAUUUUUGGGUUACCAUCUUCUUUUCUCCCAUCUUCUUUCUACCAUUUUCUCUCUUCCAUUUUGGGUUUUUCAAGAGCAUUUGCAAGUAUGUAUUUCAUUUAUUGUGUAAUUUCUACUCUAAUUAUGUGCUUCUAAUAUUUUUCAUAAGAUUAUUAAGAUCAUGAUGAAGCAACUUGUAACUAGGUAAUAUUAAUGUUGUAUGUUGAUUUUCCUGUAAUGCAACAAAGUUUAUGGACUUUUCUUCUUCA
Long non-coding RNA from Humulus lupulus (European hop), 1427 nucleotides. RefSeq lists it as uncharacterized. The record is from RefSeq and is a predicted model, not a curated record. The transcript is spliced from 4 exons. NCBI's taxonomy places the organism in Eukaryota, Viridiplantae, Streptophyta, Magnoliopsida, Rosales, Cannabaceae.